RNAcentral lists this ribosomal RNA (1178 nucleotides) under human gut metagenome. Its description in RNAcentral is "bacterial LSU rRNA". It matches the Rfam family "Bacterial large subunit ribosomal RNA", at positions 1124 to 2300 of the family's 2925-position model. The record is from RNAcentral.
UAAAGAAAGCGUAAUAGCUCACUGAUCGAGUCUUUCUGCGCGGAAGAUGUAACGGGGCUAAGCAAGUAACCGAAGCCGCGGAUUCAUACGUAAGUAUGAGUGGUAGGGGAGCGUUCUGUAAGCCUGCGAAGGUGUGUUGAGAAGCAUGCUGGAGGUAUCAGAAGUGCGAAUGCUGACAUGAGUAACGUUAAAGCGGGUGAAAAGCCCGCUCGCCGUAAGCCCAAGGUUUCCUGCUCUACGUUCAUCGGAGCAGGGUGAGUCGGCCCCUAAGGCCAGGCUGAGAAGCGUAGUCGAUGGGAACAAGGUUAAUAUUCCUAGACCAUUGUCAAGUAUGCGAUGGGGGGACGGAGUGUGAAAGAUGAUCCGGGUGUUGGAUAUCCCGGUUUGUGAGAGUAGAAGGAAGGCAGGCAAAUCCGCCUUCAAAUCUUCGAGUCAAAACAUCGAUUCUCCACGUGAGAAGAAGUCAUCGGAAGUGCUUCCAAGAAAAGCCUCUAAGUGGUAGCUUGACAAGACCGUACCGCAAACCGACACUGGUGGGCGAGUUGAAUAUACUAAGGCGCUUGAGAGAACUCGGGAGAAGGAACUCGGCAAAUUGACACCGUAACUUCGGAAGAAGGUGUGCCUUUGUAGCGUGAGAGAAGAAACAUCUUAAGCGUGAAGAGGCCUCAGAGAAUAGGUGGCUGCAACUGUUUACUAAAAACAUAGCACUCUGCAAAGAUGAAAGUCGACGUAUAGGGUGUGAUGCCUGCCCGGUGCUGGAAGAUUAAUUGAUGGGGUGCAAGCUCCUGAUCGAAGUCCCAGUAAACGGCGGCCGUAACUAUAACGGUCCUAAGGUAGCGAAAUUCCUUGUCGGGUAAGUUCCGACCUGCACGAAUGGCAUAAUGAUGGCCACACUGUCUCCUCCCGAGACUCAGUGAAGUUGAAGUGUUUGUGAUGAUGCAAUCUCCCCGCGGCUAGACGGAAAGACCCCAUGAACCUUUACUGUAGCUUUACAUUGGACUGUGAACCGAUUUGUGUAGGAUAGGUGGGAGGCAGUGAAACUCAGACGCCAGUUUGAGCGGAGCCAUCCUUGAAAUACCACCCUGAUUUGUUUGCGGUUCUAACCUCGGCCCAUGAUCUGGGCUAGGGACCGUGUAUGGUAGGCAGUUUGACUGGGGCGGUCUCCUCCUAAAGGGUAA